This 59-nucleotide transfer RNA is filed under the name Lygodactylus nyaneka. Its description in RNAcentral is "partial tRNA-Tyr". The record is from RNAcentral. Lineage: Eukaryota; Metazoa; Chordata; Lepidosauria; Squamata; Gekkonidae.
GGCCGAGUAGGCAGUGAGUUGUAUCCUCACCUACCGGGGCAGCCCCACGCUACCAAGCC